RNAcentral lists this ribosomal RNA (1270 nucleotides) under Streptococcus pneumoniae GA16242. RNAcentral describes it as "bacterial LSU rRNA". It matches the Rfam family "Bacterial large subunit ribosomal RNA", at positions 910 to 2925 of the family's 2925-position model. The record is from RNAcentral. Lineage: Bacteria; Bacillati; Bacillota; Bacilli; Lactobacillales; Streptococcaceae.
CUGGUUAAAGCUAAAAGGGUCCAUCCCGGAUUACCAAUCUCAGAUAAACUCCGAAUGCCAAUGAAUUAUGGUCGGCAGUCAGACUGCGAGUGCUAAGAUCCGUAGUCGAAAGGGAAACAGAGACCAGCUAAGGUCCCUUUGUUAAGUGGAAUCACAGACAACUAGGAUGUUAGCUUAGAAGCAGCUAUUCAUUCGAGUGCUAGCUCACUAGUCCUGUACUAGAGUAUGUAGUGAUGGAGGGACGCAGUAGGCUAACUAAAGCAGACGAUUGGAAGAGUCUGUCUAAGCAGUGAGGUGUGAAUUGAGUCAAAUGCUUAAUUCUAUAACAUUGAGCUGUGAUCUCUACCCGUACCGCCCGACACAGGUAGUCGAGGCGAGUAGCCUCAGGUGAGCGAGAGAACUCUCGUUAAGGAACUCGGCAAAUGACACCGUAACUUCGGGAGAAGGGGUCUGACUUAAAGUAGUGCUUAGCGUAAGCGAAGGUAUGAAUUGAAGCCCCAGUAAACGGCGGCCGUAACUAUAACGGUCCUAAGGUAGCGAAAUUCCUUGUCGGGUAAGUUCCGACCCGCACGAAAGGCGUAAUGAUUUGGGCACUGUCUCAACGAGAGACUCGGUGAAAUUUUAGUACCUGUGAAGAUGCAGGUUACCCGCGACAGGACGGAAAGAAUGGAGCUUUACUGCAGGAUAUUGAGUGUCUGUACCACAUGUACAGGAUAGGUAGGAGUCUAAGAGAUCGGGACGCCAGUUUCGGAAAUCAUUCGCAGAGUGUGGUAUAAGGGAGCUUGACUGCGAGAGCUACAACUCGAGCAGGGACGAAAGUCGGGCUUAGUGAUCCGGUGGUUCCGUAUGGAAGGGCCAUCGCUCAACGGAUCUACCCUGGGAUAACAGGCCUAAGAGUUAUCGUACCUCGAUGGGUUGGGCUGUACGCCCAUUAAAGCGGCACGCGAGCUGGGUUCAGAACGUCGUGAGACAGUUCGGUCCCUAUCCGUCGCGGGCGUAGGAAAUUUGAGAGGAUCUGCUCCUAGUACGAGAGGACCAGAGUGGACUUACCGCUGGUGUACCAGUUGUCUUGCCAAAGGCAUCGCUGGGUAGCUAUGUAGGGAAGGGAUAAACGCUGAAAGCAUCUAAGUGUGAAACCCACCUCAAGAUGAGAUUUCCCAUGAUUAUAUAUCAGUAAGAGCCCUGAGAGAUGAUCAGGUAGAUAGGUUAGAAGUGGAAGUGUGGCGACACAUGUAGCGGACUAAUACUAAUAGCUCGAGGACUUAUCCAA